RNAcentral lists this non-coding RNA (574 nucleotides) under Pongo abelii (Sumatran orangutan). Lineage: Eukaryota; Metazoa; Chordata; Mammalia; Primates; Hominidae. The record is from RNAcentral.
AUUUCUUGCUAGGGAGCAGGAGCCAGGCCGUGGCCUGCUGACUGCAUCUGCCAGAUGACUACAAAUGUUUUUAUAGAUUGAGAGGAACUACACUCAAGGAGCCUCAUGCAUACCUGGACCUGAUUUAAAUGAUGAGAUGCUGGACUUCAAGCAGAUGCUGUAAUGAUAUGAGGUUCUCAGGGACCUUGGGAAAUAGUAAAUGUAUUUUGCGUGUGAGAGGGACACAAAUCAUUGGAGGCCAAAAGGGUGAACUGAGGACAGAUGCUAGCGUAGCUCCCACAAUCCCCACCUCCUGGUUUCACCCUCGUGGGAUCUCUCCAUGAGUGUGGAUGGAACCUGUGAUUUGCUUCUAACUAGUAGAAUUUGGCAAAAAAUGAUGAGAUAUAUGUGAUUAUGUUUACAUGAUUAUAUUAUAUAAGAUUCUGAGUACAUUGAGCUGCAUACAGAGAGCACGGGGGCAAGUGUGAGCCAGGUAGGCACUGGACAGCUCUGUGCCUCACUGAGGAAAAAUAACUAAACAUGGGCAAAAGAGAUCCAUGGAACCUGAGAGGCAAAGUGUUAUUAUAUGCAUUCU